Molecule: ribosomal RNA, 309 nt
Filed under: uncultured eukaryote
Lineage: Eukaryota
Description: partial 18S ribosomal RNA
Rfam family: Eukaryotic small subunit ribosomal RNA
Source: RNAcentral
CCCUUAGAUGUUCUGGGCGGCCCGCGCACUACAUUGGCACUAGCAAAGAGAUCCUAGAUUGAAUUCUUUGGGGUAUUCUUCUAAAUGGUGUCGUGACUGGGAUAAAUCCUUGUAAUUAUUGGUUUUGAACGAGGAAUUCCUUGUAAUCGCGGUUUAUCAGCUCGCGUUGAAUGCGUCCCUGCCCUUUGUACACACCGCCCGUCGCUCCUACCGAUGGAUCGUCCGGUGAAGCUCACGGAGUGACUGUUCACGCAACGGUUUACGAAGUGAAAUGGACCUCACGAUUUAGAGGAAGGAGAAGUCGCAACA